RNAcentral lists this transfer RNA (90 nucleotides) under Alphaproteobacteria bacterium. Its description in RNAcentral is "tRNA-Ser". It matches the Rfam family "tRNA". Rfam says of the family: Transfer RNA (tRNA) molecules are approximately 80 nucleotides in length. Their secondary structure includes four short double-helical elements and three loops (D, anti-codon, and T loops). The record is from RNAcentral. Lineage: Bacteria; Pseudomonadati; Pseudomonadota; Alphaproteobacteria.
GGAGGGGUGGCCGAGCGGUUUAAGGCGCACGCCUGGAAAGCGUGUUGGGGUUAACGCCUCUCAAGGGUUCGACCCCCUUCCUCUCCGCCA